This 503-nucleotide ribosomal RNA is filed under the name uncultured bacterium. Its description in RNAcentral is "partial 16S ribosomal RNA". It matches the Rfam family "Bacterial small subunit ribosomal RNA", at positions 30 to 523 of the family's 1533-position model. The record is from RNAcentral.
AUUGAACGCUGGCGGCAGGCUUAACACAUGCAAGUCGAGCGGGGUGAUGGUGCUUGCACUAUCACUUAGCGGCGGACGGGUGAGUAAUGCUUAGGAAUCUGCCUAUUAGUGGGGGACAACAUCUCGAAAGGGAUGCUAAUACCGCAUACGUCCUACGGGAGAAAGCAGGGGAUCACUUGUGACCUUGCGCUAAUAGAUGAGCCUAAGUCGGAUUAGCUAGUUGGUGGGGUAAAGGCCUACCAAGGCGACGAUCUGUAGCGGGUCGGAGAGGAUGAUCCGCCACACUGGGACUAAGACACGGCGCAGACUCCUACGGGAGACAGCAGUGGGGAAUAUUGGACAAUGGGGGGAACCCUGAUCCAGCCAUGCCGCGUGUGUGAAGAAGGCCUUAUGGUUGUAAAGCACUUUAAGCGAGGAGGAGGCUCUUUUGGUUAAUACCCAAGAUGAGUGGACGUUACUCGCAGAAUAAGCACCGGCUAACUCUGUGCCAGCCGCCGCCGUAA